This 380-nucleotide ribosomal RNA is filed under the name uncultured Arcicella sp. RNAcentral's name for it is "bacterial SSU rRNA". It matches the Rfam family "Bacterial small subunit ribosomal RNA", at positions 1 to 395 of the family's 1533-position model. Lineage: Bacteria; Pseudomonadati; Bacteroidota; Cytophagia; Cytophagales; Flectobacillaceae. The record is from RNAcentral.
ACUGGAGUUUGAUCCUGGCUCAGGAUGAACGCUAGCGGCAGGCCUAAUACAUGCAAGUCGAACGGUGUAGCAAUACAUAGUGGCGCACGGGUGCGUAACACGUAUGCAACCUACCUUAUACUGGGGGAUAGCCUUUGGAAACGGAGAUUAAUACCCCAUAGUACAUUUGAUUGGCAUCAAGUAGCUGUUAAAGAUUUAUCGAUGUAAGCUGGGCAUGCGUCCAAUUAGCUAGUUGGUGAGGUAAUGGCUCACCAAGGCUAUGAUUGGUAGGGGAACUGAGAGGUCAACUCCCCCACACUGGCACUGAGAUACGGGCCAGACUCUACGGGAGCAGCAGUAGGGAAUAUUGGGCAAUGGACGCAAGUCUGACCCCAGCCCAU